Molecule: ribosomal RNA, 476 nt
Filed under: Phaffomyces sp.
Lineage: Eukaryota; Fungi; Ascomycota; Saccharomycetes; Phaffomycetales; Phaffomycetaceae
Description: LSU rRNA
Rfam family: Eukaryotic large subunit ribosomal RNA
Source: RNAcentral
AAGCGGCAAGAGCUCAAAUUUGAAAUCGGGGCACAGUAGUUCUCCGAGUUGUAGUUUGAAGGCGUGGUGGAGGAGGCGUUGGUGUGUGGCGAUGUUCCUUGGAAGAGGGCGUCAGAGAAGGUGAUAAUCCUGUAGCCGCACCACCACGCCUCCACAUUCCACCGCACCGACGAGUCGAGUUGUUUGGGAAUGCAGCUCUAAUUUGGUGGUAAACUCCAUCUAAAGCUAAAUACUAGCGAGAGACCGAUAGCGAACAAGUACAGUGAUGGAAAGAUGAAAAGAACUUUGAAAAGAGAGUGAAAGAGUGCGUGAAAUUGUUGAAAGGGAAGGAUAUUAGGUGAGGCGGGGCGGGAACUAAUAGGGCUUCACUUGUGGGGGUUCAUAAUGGUUCGUGCCAGGGGGGUGUGGGUGGGGGCGAGGGUUAUACACGUAGAUAAUUGUACCUAGUACUAUGAUCUAUCCAAACCCCUCCCCCC